This 932-nucleotide ribosomal RNA is filed under the name Chryseobacterium sp. RNAcentral describes it as "bacterial SSU rRNA". It matches the Rfam family "Bacterial small subunit ribosomal RNA", at positions 91 to 1028 of the family's 1533-position model. Lineage: Bacteria; Pseudomonadati; Bacteroidota; Flavobacteriia; Flavobacteriales; Weeksellaceae. The record is from RNAcentral.
GAGAGCGGCGUACGGGUGCGUAACACGUGUGCAACCUACCUUUAUCUGGGGGAUAGCCUUUCGAAAGGAAGAUUAAUACCCCAUAAUAUAUUGAAUGGCAUCAUUUAAUAUUGAAAACUCCGGUGGAUAGAGAUGGGCACGCGCAAGAUUAGAUAGUUGGUGAGGUAACGGCUCACCAAGUCUGUGAUCUUUAGGGGUCCUGAGAGGGAGAUCCCCCACACUGGUACUGAGACACGGACCAGACUCCUACGGGAGGCAGCAGUGAGGAAUAUUGGACAAUGGGUGAAAGCCUGAUCCAGCCAUCCCGCGUGAAGGAUGACGGUCCUAUGGAUUGUAAACUUCUUUUGUACAGGGAUAAACCUACCCUCGUGAGGGUAGCUGAAGGUACUGUACGAAUAAGCACCGGCUAACUCCGUGCCAGCAGCCGCGGUAAUACGGAGGGUGCAAGCGUUAUCCGGAUUUAUUGGGUUUAAAGGGUCCGUAGGCGGACCUGUAAGUCAGUGGUGAAAUCUCAUAGCUUAACUAUGAAACUGCCAUUGAUACUGCAGGUCUUGAGUAAAUUUGAAGUGGCUGGAAUAAGUAGUGUAGCGGUGAAAUGCAUAGAUAUUACUUAGAACACCAAUUGCGAAGGCAGGUCACUAAGAUUUAACUGACGCUGAUGGACGAAAGCGUGGGUAGCGAACAGGAUUAGAUACCCUGGUAGUCCACGCCGUAAACGAUGCUAACUCGUUUUUGGAUUUUCGGAUUCAGAGACCAAGCGAAAGUGAUAAGUUAGCCACCUGGGGAGUACGUCCGCAAGGAUGAAACUCAAAGGAAUUGACGGGGGCCCGCACAAGCGGUGGAUUAUGUGGUUUAAUUCGAUGAUACGCGAGGAACCUUACCAAGACUUAAAUGGGAAUUGACAGGUUUAGAAAUAGACCCUUCUUCGGACA